UGUGCAAUUGCUGGGUCAUAUGGUAAGAGCAUGUUCAGUUUUUGUAAGAAUUCGCCAAACUGUCUUCCAGAGUCACUACCAUUUGCAUCCCCACUAGCAAU
This 101-nucleotide microRNA precursor is filed under the name Marmota monax (woodchuck). The record is from RNAcentral. Lineage: Eukaryota; Metazoa; Chordata; Mammalia; Rodentia; Sciuridae.